CCGGAAGGAAUAGCAUAUAGAGAUAAAUAUUCAGAUGUGUGUUUAUCCGGAAGAAACAAAUUUCAGGGACUCGAAUCUGUGGGUGUGCAGAGGUAGCUAGGAAGGUUUGAAUGGCAGAACUAAGGGUGAUGCAUCGGCCAGUAGUGUAGUAUACUCGAUUACACGAUCGGGGAGAUGUACAUUGUUGUGUGCAUGAAACAGAUCAUGUAGGAUGGGGAUUGGUAGGGGGGGAAGAACAAGAAGAUGAGAUGAAAGAUGGCCAAAAUCUCAAUUAUUUCCCCCAGCGCCUAUCUGGGGCACAUGUUAGUGUUAGUGCUGCCCCUCUCCUGCUUCCUUUUCCUCAUAGUUUUUUUUCUUUAAAAAAAAGAUGCUUCUCUCCUUCUUCUCGUACACAUGAUUCCUUCUUCCCUUUGACUCCACCCUGCUCCUGUCCCUGCACAAACUGAAAAAACAUACAGAAAAAUAGUUGAAAAUGUAAUUUAUCCAACUUUUCAGAAGAAAUUUUAUGCAUAAUUUUUAUAUAUGUUUUCUUUCCCAGUAGUCGUGACAUAGUUAUGCCUGUCCCCUCAACGGCUAGUAGAUUAUUAUCUUUAGCAAGAUAAUACACCCCCUGUCAGUGAUAGCUGUCCCCAGGUGACACCCAAAAAAAAAAACCACUGAGCAAGCAAGGCAUGUGUGCCAUGUCUUUGCUAUGCUUCCCAUGAAAGUCACCUUCACAACAAAUCUCCCACACCUCCAUUCUCCAUGUACCCUUCCAUACCAUACCAUACCAUGCCAUACCCCAUCCAUCAUGGCCAUAGGCCAUCCAAAACCAAAGAAGAGAGAGAAAGUAUAGAGAGAGAAUUUUUUUAAGGGUGGCAUUAGUGGACAUAAUUAGUAUCACCUCGUGAGUAGUAAACCAUGUGCACUACUAUAUAACAAUCCCCUAAGCGGCCUUUGCCUUUAGUUGUUUGUGCCCUUCUUCUUCUUCUUCUUCUACUUCUUCUUCUUACUCGUGUUCGUUUUUGACAACCGGGGGGGUUCGUGGUUGCCAACUUUGUGAGCAAUGGAGAGAGGGAGGGCGGUGGCGGUGGCGGUGGCGGUGGCGGGGUUGGUGUGGGUGGCGGCGACGGUGGCCGCGGAGCCGCUGCCGCAGUACUACAACGCGAUAUUCAGCUUCGGCGACUCGUUCUCCGACACGGGCAACUUCGUCAUCAUCAACUCCGGCAAGCUCCCCAACAUGCCCAAGUUCCCGCCGCCGUACGCGCGCUGCUCCAACGGCCGCCUCGUCAUCGACUUCCUCGGUACGUGACGUGAUCGAUCGAUCGUCCGUCGUCUCCUGAUCGGAUGAGACAUGGGUGGCCGCAGGGUUUUAAGUUUCGGUUUGCAAUUUUCUACCGGAGGGGACCGACGGAAAUUUCGGAAUUUUUUCGGAAAUUUCGAACGAAAGUUUUCAAAUUUAAAUUUGAAAUUUUGUCAAAAUUUCUGAAAAAAAUCAAGCAAAUGCAGAGGAGGAGGAGAGGGCGAUGGGAAACCUGCGCAGCAGCAACCGGCGCCGCCACCGNNN
Molecule: long non-coding RNA, 1546 nt
Filed under: Oryza brachyantha (malo sina)
Lineage: Eukaryota; Viridiplantae; Streptophyta; Magnoliopsida; Poales; Poaceae
Description: long non-coding RNA (OBRA_LNC001356)
Source: RNAcentral